AUGAACGUUGGCGGUGCGCCUAAUACAUGCAAGUCGAACGGAGACAGUAGCAAUAUUGUUUUAGUGGCGAACGGGUGAGUAACGCGUUGGUGAUCUGCCUCGAAGUGUGGAAUAACGUUCCGAAAGGAGCACUAAUACCGCAUGGUCUUCCGGUUUUUAGAAAACUGGAAGUAAAGUAGUAAUUCGCUUCUAGAGGAGCCUGCGUCCCAUCAGCUAGUUGGUAAGGUAAUGGCUUACCAAGGCUAUGACGGGUAGGGGACCUGAGAGGGUGGCCCCCCACAAUGGAACUGAAACACGGUCCAGACACCUACGGGUGGCAGCAGUAGGGAAUAUUAGUAAUGGGCGAGAGCCUGAACGAGCGACACCGCGUGGGCGGAGAAGGCCUUUGGGUUGUAAAGCACUUUUAGAGAGGAUGAGGAAGGACGGUACUCUCUGAAUAAGUCUCGGCUAACUACGU
Molecule: ribosomal RNA, 457 nt
Filed under: uncultured bacterium
Lineage: Bacteria
Description: bacterial SSU rRNA
Rfam family: Bacterial small subunit ribosomal RNA
Source: RNAcentral